ACCGCCUUCAUUCACAAUGUUCAAUCGUCCCGCAGUGAGAUCCCGCCUGCACACAGUGUACCCUUUAUUCCUGCACAUCCUGCUUGUUCAUGCUUUGAUAUGGACAGACAGUCAAGUACUCCAGCCAUCGAGGCAGCUCUGCAGCAGGGGGGCGAACAUAAACGGGACUACUGUUUCUGGUCUUCCAGGUCCAGCUGACGAAUGGGGAUUGGCUGGCGGCAGAGCUGAUAGCUGACUGGCUGGUCGUUUGACGACAUGGAUCUGGUGAUGACCAGGACGUCCUGGAAAAGGAACACGUGGAGCUUCUGGAAAGAUAGUCAUACAGAGUACAGCUCUCCAUGACAGCUGAGGGUCUUGGAGCGGUCGAUGAGUUCGUUCCUUUGUCCGUCCUCUGUGUACACCAGACGAUCCUUGUAGUAUUGACACUCCGACUCUCCUGUCUGCCUGUUGAUGUCCGCCACUACGCUUUGAACCAUCAGCAUCUAUGGGGUGCUGUCGGUCUAGGUGGUCGUUGGCUGUGUGCUUCAGGAUCUCUCUGAGCAGCAGCGGGUAUUUCACCAGCCGGCUGCGGGGAAUGUCCAGGAAGUUCCACAGGUCCAGCUUCCUGCUAAAAGGUGACUGGAGACAACGCUGCAAGAAGUCCUGGACUCGCCGAUCUUGCUUCUUUUGGUCCAACAAAGCCUUGGCUUUGACCUGGUUACUGCAGUACGGCGUGGGUAUAAGGGAUUCCAGAGUACCAAAGAUCUGGUUCAGUUCUUGCUCGGUCAUGAUGGAUAGCUUGAGCAUUGGGUCGUGGUAGGCCUACAGCACACACAUAAAGAAACACAGAGGUUGUGCCGCUCCCAGUCGGACGUCAAACGUCUCGCUCCACAGCUUGCUGUCCCGACGCUUGGAAGCCGAAGCAGCUGCAGUUGAAACCCUCGGGGCAGUCAUAGAGGACGAAGGGUUUGAGAGUGUCGCUGAGAUAA
This is a long non-coding RNA of Oreochromis niloticus (Nile tilapia), 968 nucleotides long. RefSeq lists it as uncharacterized. Lineage: Eukaryota; Metazoa; Chordata; Actinopteri; Cichliformes; Cichlidae. The transcript has 6 exons. The record is from RefSeq and is a predicted model, not a curated record.